AUGCAUCACACAAUCUCAGAUUCAUCUAUUCAACCAACACAAAGAACUUCAAAGAGUGCCCCAAAGUUUCUACCAGAGAGUCAAGACAAAAACGGCACAGUGGUGGAGCUGUCGGAGCAUGGCAUCAUGGUCACCAUGGAGGAGAGCGGCUGCCUCCAGGCCAAUGUCUACCUCAAGACCGAGGGUGGAGGGUUUCCACAGUUAGGCCUUAGCCUGGGGCUCCUCGUUGACUGCCUCAACAUGUCAGUGGGGUCUCCAGAUGCAUGUAUACAUGCAGAAAUCAGAACCAGAAUUCCUGGUACUAUCGCCUGGGAUUACCAUUUUCAGCAUGCAGGAAAUACUCCAGUCACUUUUACUGUUAAGUAUGCCAUCCUGAAAGAAUCAAUUGAUGACCUUGAGUGGCCAGGCUCCAGCAUUCAGAUUCAUUUUCAUCCAGACCCCCUUCACAAGCGGCGAUGGGUGGCGCGAGGUCGCGCUCCCCCCGUUCGCCGGCGUCGUCGCUGGAGAGGAGGGAGAUUCCGGCUGAUCUCUUUGGUCUCUGCUUCAGCUGUUUCCACGAAGGGCAUCGCCGUGAAGACUGUUGGUUCCCCCCGUUGUGCAUUAGGUGUGGUGUGGAAGGCCACAUCUCUACGGCGUGCAAGUGGCCUCGGAGUCCCAGGUCUGAGGAGGAUCUCCGGCGUGAGGCGGUGGCCAAGGUAG
This 699-nucleotide ribosomal RNA is filed under the name Triticum aestivum (bread wheat). RNAcentral's name for it is "partial small subunit ribosomal RNA". The record is from RNAcentral. Lineage: Eukaryota; Viridiplantae; Streptophyta; Magnoliopsida; Poales; Poaceae.